RNAcentral lists this ribosomal RNA (253 nucleotides) under uncultured bacterium. Its description in RNAcentral is "partial 16S ribosomal RNA". It matches the Rfam family "Bacterial small subunit ribosomal RNA", at positions 524 to 776 of the family's 1533-position model. The record is from RNAcentral.
UACGUAGGGUGCGAGCGUUGUCCGGAAUUAUUGGGCGUAAAGAGCUUGUAGGCGGUUUGUCGCGUCUGCUGUGAAAUCUCAAGGCUCAACCUUGAGCUUGCAGUGGGUACGGGCAGACUAGAGUGUGGUAGGGGAGACUGGAAUUCCUGGUGUAGCGGCGAAAUGCGCAGAUAUCAGGAGGAACACCGAUGGCGAAGGCAGGUCUCUGGGCCACUACUGACGCUGAGAAGCGAAAGCAUGGGGAGCGAACAGG